GGGGAUGAUUGACUCGACGGAGGAUAUGUACAUUAAAAACUGCAAGCCGACCUUGAUAGGUGGUCGUAAAACAACGAUCAAAAACUAAAUGCUGAUAACGAACAGUUUGAAGCAGCUCUUUGGGCACGACGGCCACUUGCAUUCGCAACGCUUAAUGCCUAAUUAGCCAUCUCAUAGGUGUUUCUCUCGGUGACGCUUUUGAGGUGUAAACAAAGCCGGGACACCAGGAAUCAAUUGACCGAUUGAUUUCGGAGCAAACUACGGUCAACCCUCCGAUGAACUUCAUUUGUCCGUUUAUGACAUCGGAGAAGAAACGGAACACGCUUGUAGACGUUUGCGAUGUAUGCUUCCGGACCCGGGCUCAAUACCCGGCAUCUCCACAA
RNAcentral lists this transfer-messenger RNA (383 nucleotides) under Patescibacteria group. RNAcentral's name for it is "f UBA927 X1 Standard tmRNA". It matches the Rfam family "transfer-messenger RNA". From Rfam's summary of the family: Bacterial tmRNA, also known as 10Sa RNA or SsrA, is named for its dual tRNA and mRNA-like properties. Its role is to liberate the mRNA from a stalled ribosome. To accomplish this part of the tmRNA is used as a reading frame that ends in a translation stop signal. The record is from RNAcentral. RNAcentral also lists the same sequence under 1 other name.